Long non-coding RNA from Erpetoichthys calabaricus (reedfish), 326 nucleotides. RefSeq lists it as uncharacterized. The record is from RefSeq and is a predicted model, not a curated record. The transcript has 2 exons. Lineage: Eukaryota; Metazoa; Chordata; Cladistia; Polypteriformes; Polypteridae.
CAUCUUUUUCCAUAUUACUCUCACUGCACCACUUGGACUGAUCGGAAAGAGAAUUAUCGGUAUACAGCAUCAAGCACACGCUGCCUCAGCCAUGCUGUCUAUUGAACUGCUCUCACACGGCAAACGCUUCAAAGCCUUUUCUGUACGGACCUCGCGGUUCAGAAACAGUUUCAUCCCAAGAACUAUAAAUGCACUCAAUCAGUCCAUCAAGUGCCCCUUAUAGAACUGUUUGUAUUUAUAAGUACAAUUACCUCACUGUAAACUUGCAAUACAGUUAUAAUAUUGCACAACCUGAGCCACUUUAUAAAGCGCGUAUUUACAUAUGA